RNAcentral lists this ribosomal RNA (179 nucleotides) under uncultured bacterium. RNAcentral describes it as "partial 16S ribosomal RNA". It matches the Rfam family "Bacterial small subunit ribosomal RNA", at positions 1314 to 1500 of the family's 1533-position model. The record is from RNAcentral.
GACUCCAUGAAGCUGGAUUCGCUAGUAAUCGCGCAUCAGCCACGGCGCGGUGAAUACGUUCCCGGGCCUUGUACACACCGCCCGUCAAGCCAUGGAAGCCGGGGGUGCCUGAAGUGCGCUGCCGCGAGGAGCGCCCUAGGGUAAAACCGGUGACUGGGGCUAAGUCGUAACAAGGUACC